Molecule: ribosomal RNA, 340 nt
Filed under: uncultured eukaryote
Lineage: Eukaryota
Description: partial 18S ribosomal RNA
Rfam family: Eukaryotic small subunit ribosomal RNA
Source: RNAcentral
CCCUUAGAUGUUCGGGGCCGCACGCGCGCUACACUGAAGGACUCAGCGUGUCUCUCCCCCUAUCCCGAAAGGGAUGGGCAACCCGUUGAACCUCCUUCGUGCUAGGGAUUGUGGUUUGCAAUUAUCCCCCAUGAACGAGGAAUUCCCAGUAAGCGCGAGUCAUCAGCUCGCGUUGAUUACGUCCCUGCCCUUUGUACACACCGCCCGUCGCUACUACCGAUUGGAUGGUUUAGUGAGACCCUCGGAUCGGUCCCGACUCGGGGUGGGCUUCUGCCCCGGUCGUGGUUUCGCCGAGAAGACGGUCAAACUUGACUAUCUAGAGGAAGUAAAAGUCGUAACA